RNAcentral lists this ribosomal RNA (340 nucleotides) under Citrobacter sp. wls716. RNAcentral describes it as "bacterial SSU rRNA". It matches the Rfam family "Bacterial small subunit ribosomal RNA", at positions 108 to 451 of the family's 1533-position model. RNAcentral also lists the same sequence under 3 other names. The record is from RNAcentral. Lineage: Bacteria; Pseudomonadati; Pseudomonadota; Gammaproteobacteria; Enterobacterales; Enterobacteriaceae.
GAGUAAUGUCUGGGAAACUGCCCGAUGGAGGGGGAUAACUACUGGAAACGGUAGCUAAUACCGCAUAACGUCGCAAGACCAAAGAGGGGGACCUUCGGGCCUCUUGCCAUCGGAUGUGCCCAGAUGGGAUUAGCUAGUAGGUGGGGUAACGGCUCACCUAGGCGACGAUCCCUAGCUGGUCUGAGAGGAUGACCAGCCACACUGGAACUGAGACACGGUCCAGACUCCUACGGGAGGCAGCAGUGGGGAAUAUUGCACAAUGGGCGCAAGCCUGAUGCAGCCAUGCCGCGUGUAUGAAGAAGGCCUUCGGGUUGUAAAGUACUUUCAGCGAGGAGGAAGG